CCUGCGGAGAGCGAACACACAGCAUGUAGAAAGCGCGAGGACUCAGGAAUGCGUCGGAGGCACUGGAGGGCUUCCCACUAACAGGCAGGGCAGAUAAGAAAGUUCCUCGGAACCCCUGCUGGGCAGGGCAGCCGCAGCUGGUUUGGAAAAACGCAUGAAUGACAACUGCAAGGGAGCCAUGAAGUGGGCGUGUCUCGGCAAUGUUGGGCCACGCCCACUACACGCGCCAGCGGCCGCCCCCGUUCUGCCACCCUAGCUGUGUCCCUGGGAGGCUGUGUGGUGGUGCGGUUACUAGCCAUGUACCUUCGGAGACAGCAACGACAUCAUAAAGCUACACAAGGCGAACCCACGGGAAGGAAGAAUCUUAUUUUUACGUGGCCUACUCACCUAGCAAUGCGAUUGUUGUCUGUCUUCCGGACCCUGCGGAUUGCCGUGACGUUGGCCCGCAUGAGGUAGUGCUGAGCUAAAUCUGUAAACCCAAGAGCAGAGGGGUCAAGAGGGAGGCCAGAACUCCUGGGCUCCGACCUGGCUGCAUCCUCGAUGCACACUAACUACCACGUUCACCCUGCCGUCUCUGCCAACCUGUCCACCCUCUUCUACCUCAAUAAGAGGUUGGAAAGACGAACAGAGUCCUACCCGAGAUGCCCUUUUCUGUGAUGACCACAUCGGGCUUCAGGUGGAUGAUGUCCUCACACAGCUGCUGGAUGUACUCUUCUUCCAUUUGGAGGAUCCGGGUGAAGUCUUCCUCUCGUGUGAUCUCAAUGUCCGUCUGCGUGGUGAAGAAAAGUCACAGACUUAAAAUCUCAGACGUGCCCAGUAUCAGGCCCCUCUACCGAGUCCCUCAUGCACCCCAGAAGUGAGUCAGAGUCCUGCUGAAGCCAGGAGCCCACGCCUCUGUAAGCUAGUUUAACUCAAGAACUCCAGCUGAACUCCUUCACUGAAGUACUCCUCAACUAGGAUUCAAAGUCAAAGGCCAUCAGUGGAGAUUUUGGCCUAAGGUCUCUGACCACUCAGUACGACAUUACAUCUACCCUGCAUGGUAACUCUGGGUCUUAAUUCUUCCCACCAAUAAACUAAAUCUUCUUCCCAA
Molecule: long non-coding RNA, 1090 nt
Organism: Lynx canadensis (Canada lynx)
Lineage: Eukaryota; Metazoa; Chordata; Mammalia; Carnivora; Felidae
Exons: 2
Source: RefSeq, a predicted model, not a curated record